Long non-coding RNA from Equus asinus (donkey), 19467 nucleotides. The record is from Ensembl. Lineage: Eukaryota; Metazoa; Chordata; Mammalia; Perissodactyla; Equidae.
GGAGUGGGCUCAGGGUGGCAGCUUUGUUCAAUGGUACUGAAGCAUCUCAAUAUUUCAGCUGCUUACCAGACAAAUGUUAACCUUGCUGAAAGCUCCUGUAGGUUAACAAUAGGUGGCAUUAGAAUCGUGAUGCUUAGAAAUAGAGAAGGUUCUCAUCCAGCAGUAGAAUAGAAGGUUAUAGAAAUUCUCCCAGCUAUUGGAAGGAAUUUGGGCUUGCUAAUUAAUCUUCAAUGUAAGGAUGAAUAGUUCUGACUCUGGUUGUCACUGGAAAAAUUAAGGAGGGAAAAAACUAUAUUUCUUGUCUCCCCAGUACAUCAUAAUCUCAUUUAACUAUGUCAACUCUGUAGGAAAGCAUAUUAAUUUACUAGGGCUGCCGUAACAAAGUACCACAGACUGAGUGGCUUAAACACAGAAAUUUAUUUCCUCACAGUCUGGAGGCAAGAAACUCAAGAUUCAGGUGAGGGCAGGGCUGGUUUCCUUCAGAGCCCUUUCUUCUUUGGCUUGUAGUGGCUGUCUUCCCCUCGGGUAUUCACAUAGCCUUCCUUCUGUGUAUGUGUGUGUGUCCUAACCUCCUCUUCUUCUAAGGGCACCAGUCAAAUGGGACUGGGGCCCACUUUAAUGACCUCGUCUAACCUUAAUUACCACUUUGAAGACCCGAUCCUCCAAAACAGUCCGAUUCCCAGCCAUUGGGGGUUAGGACUUCAACAUAGGGGAUUUUUUUGAGAGAGGGGAUACAAUUCAGCCCAUAACAGAAAGUUAGUAAUAUAACCCCUCCCUUAAAAAAUAGUCUAUAAAAAUGUUUUCUGAAAGUCAGUUUUAUUAUCAUAUGUAUUACAUAUAAAAUAUGCCCAUUUUAAGUAUACGGCUUGAAUUUUGGCAAAUAUGUACACGCAUGUAAGCAACACCAUGAUUAAACUACAGAACAUUUCUGUCAUCCCCAAAGGUUCUCUUGUGUGUCUCUCCUGGCAUUGCCCCUUCAUCCCUGGCCCCAGACAGCCACUGGUCUGAUUUCUUUUCUAGUAUUUCACGUAAAUGAUGUCAUAAAGUAUGCACUCCACUAUGUCUGGCUUCUUGUUCACAGUAUAUUGCAUAAUGUAUCUGAGAUUUAUCCAUUUUGUUGGUGUAUCAGUAGCUUGUUCCAUUUUAUUGCUGAGUGGUGUUCCAUUGUAUGGCUAUGACACACUUUGUUUAUUUAUUGUUUACAGAUUUUGGCUAUUAUGAAUAGAACUAACGAGAACAUUUGGUUGUAGGUCUUUGUAUAUCCAGGACAUAUGUUUUCACUUCUCUUGGGUAAAUACAUAAACAUGGAGAUGCAUCAGAUGAGAAGUAUGCAUUUAACUUUUGUAAACUCUUUUUCAAGAGGAAUCUGCCAUAUUGUUUUCCAAAUGGUUGUAUGAUUUUACAUUCGCACUAGCAAUGUAUGAGAGUUCUAGUUCCUCCAUAUUACCACCAAUUCUUGGCAUUAUUGACCUUUAUAACUUUAGCCAUUCCCGUGGAUAUGUAGUGGUAUCUCACUGUAGUUUUGAAUUUGCAUUUUCCUAAUGACUGAAUAAUACUGAAUAUCUUUUCAUGUCCUUAUUGGAAAAUCAUAUAUCUUCUUUUGUGAUUGUCUUUUCAAAUAUUUUUCUUGCUUUUUAGUAGAUUAAGUUAUUUUUAAAUUUUUUGAGUUCCUUAAGUUUCCUAGACACAAGCCAUUUGUUAGAUAUAUAUAAUGUAAAUAUUUCCUUUUAUGCUUUGGCUUACAUUUUCAGUAUAUUAGUGCCCAUUUGAAGAGUAGAAUUCUUUCUUUUGAUAAAGUUCAACUUAACCAUUUUGUCUUUGGUUUUGGCCUUUUGUGUCCUAUUUAGGAAAUCUUUACUGACUCUAAAGAAGGCAAAUUUUAUAAAUCUGGAUUUAAUGUUUCGGUUUAUGACACAUUUUGAUUUCUUUUUGUGUGUGGCAUGAGGUAAGUGAGCUUCAUUUUUUUUCUGCACGUGAGUAUCUUAUUGUUUCAGAGCAUUUGUGGAGAAGACUGUCUUUUCCCCAUUGAAUUAUUAUGGCACCCUUGUCAAAAACCAGUUAUAUAGGAGAAAAGCGUACAUUCAUUUAUUUCUGGAAUCUCUAUUUUGUUUCAUUGAUUAAAUUCUAUUCUCAGGUCAAUACUACACUAUCUUGAUUACUGUAGCUUUAUAGUAUGUCUCUAAAUCCAGUAGUGUGAGUUCUCCAUCUUCAUGGUUUUAAAAAAAAUGUUCUAGCUAUUUUAAGCCCUUUUUAUUUCCAUAGUAACAUUGGAAUUAUCUUAUCAAUUUCUACAAAGAGGAUAACUGAAUUUGGAUACGAAUUGCAAUAUAUCUAUAAAUCAAUUUAAGUAGAACUGACAUCUUAAUAAUAUUGAGUCUUUCAAUCCAUGAUGUGGUGUUCCUUAAUUUCUCUCAGAAAUUUGACACUUUUAAGUAUAAAAGGAGUGCAUAUAUUUUGUAAAAUUUUUCUCUAAGAAUUUUAUAUUUAUUGGCAUUAUUGUAAACGGUAUUUUUUUCAAAUUUCAUUUUUUGUUACUAAAUAAAUCAGUUGACUCCGUAUAUUGAUCUUGUGCUCUGCAGCUAUAACAAAUUCACUUACUAAUUCUAGUAGCUAUUUUGUAUAUUUAUUUAUGCAUGAUUUUGUCAUAUUCCUUUUCAAUCCAUAUAUGUCUUUCAUUUUUUUUCUUGCACUAUUGCAUUGGCCGGGACCUCGCCCCCAGAACAACGUUGACCAGAAGCAGUAAGAGUGAAUAUGUUUACUUUCUUUCUUAGAAAAAAAGCAUAUAAUUCUUCACCAUGUAUGUAAGUGUUAGCUGUAGGUUUUUCAUAAAAGCGCUUUGUCAGAUUCAGGGAGUUCUUUUUAAUCCUAUUUUGAUUGAGAGAUUCUAUCAUAAAUAAAUAUUGAAUUUUGUCAAAUGCUUUUUCUCUAUCUAUUGAGAUAAGCAUAUAAGUUUUCUCCUUUAUUCUGUUAAUAUAUUGAGUUACAAUGCCUGAUUUUCAAAUGUUAGACAACUUUGGACUCUUGAGAUAAAUCUCACUUAUUUUUUUACAUUGUUAAAUUUUAUUUGCUAAUAUUUAGCUAGUGGUUUUGCUAUUUUGGUAUUAUGUUCAUGAGAGCUAUUAGCCUACAGGUUUUUAUAUUUUCUGUUUUUCUUUCUUGUAAUAUCUUUGGCUGGUUUUGUUAUUAGGAUAAUACUAGACUCAUGGAACUAGUUGUGAGGUGUCCAUCCUCUUUGUCAUUUCCAAGUCCAUUUUUAUUAGCUAACUUUUCUCAUGGUUAUGUUUCAUAAUUUACCUCUUUGGGGACAUGUAUAUAAUUUUAGUUGCUGUGAUGCUGAAAGCUAUGCCAACGAUAUUUCAAAUACCAGCAGGGUCACACAUGGUGGACAAGUUUCAGUGGAGUUUCCAGACUAAGACAGAUUAGGAAGAAGGGCCUGGCACCCACUCGUAAAAAAAAUUGCUCAUGAAAAUCCUUCGAAUAGCAGUGGAGCAUUGUCUGAUAUUGCAUUGAAAGUGAGAGGAUGGCACAAAAAGAUCAAGCAGGGUUCCACUCUACCGUAGACAGGGUUGCUAGGGGGCAAUGGAACUAACAACAAAUAUGAUUUUAGAUUGGAUGAUGAAUAUUUGGAACUUUAUGUUGUUGAGCUGUUUUUGCUGUAUUUUGUUGUCUUUAUAAAAGAUUGUCAGAUUUGGUUCUGGAAGGCCUUUAAAUAUUUUAUGAAUGAACAGCUUUAUUCUUUCAAGACUGGCUUUUAAACUGUGUUAGAGCUUUUCUAGAGUUGUUAUUAAGGGUAUUUUAGCCCAACUACCCAAUUGUGAUCUUCUGGGGUCCUUAAUCAAGGCAAUCAAUGAAGAUUUUCCAGUAUCAUUGGUCAGACCUUGAGUGUCUCUCUGCCCUGUAUGAUAGCCAAGAGUUCUCAGCAUACAACUCCUUAUUGGUUAUCUACCUGGCUUCAGGAGCUUUACCCUAAGUGUGUGCAUAGCUUAAUAUCCCAUUAUCAACAGAUACAAAGUGACCCAUAUGCAGAUUUUUUGAGGUCUUUCUGAUCUAGAACUUGUCAAAGGGCAUUCAUACGGCUCAUAAUUUUGUUUCCCUCUUCUCAUGGAUCAUAGUCCAGCUUUGCCUGUUAUCCAUUGUCUAAAACAGUUGUCCAGUUUUUAAAUUGUUUAUAGUGGGACAAUAAAUCUGGUCCCUGUUUUUAACUAUGGCCAGGAGCAUAAUGCUUUUACCUCUUUCUAUAGAUAAGUAUAGAGAUUAGAAAGACUAGUAUAGUGAUGAAGAACAAGGAUUUGAGAUUUUGUUAGAAACCAAAUUUUUGCUGUUUAUUACUUGUACUACGUUGAGUAAGUUAUUUAACUUUCUGUCUUGGUUUCUAUAUCUUUAAAAUGGAGAUGCUUAUGAUGAUGAUAAUACUAAAAAUAAUAAUAUUAGAAAUUUUCUCUUACUAUUAUUGUGAUGAUGAACUGAGAUAAUGAAUGUGAAAUUUUUAUUUUUUAGCACUGUUCCUGGCACAGAGUGAGUGUUGAAUACGGAGUUAGCUAAUUAAUAAUAUUGUCCAUGAUCACUUUGGCAGAAUUCCAACUUCAAGUUCAGGAAUGUAAUAUUGAUGGACAAGAUGGAUGUUUUUUCAUUAUUUAUCAAAGCCGUUUUGUUCUGUUUCUUUCCAGAACAGAAAACAGGUAUGUUCAGGCCCUCAAGACAAAUCCCCUGAAGCAAAGACAAAGUAUAUUCAUGUAAUGGAACAUGAGAAGUCUUCUUUGUGUUUGUGGGGAAAUUUUAAAGGGAAGAUCUGUGGAUAAUCCAUCACAAAUUCUCAGUUCAGAGUACCUAUUAUUUAAUUACAAUGAUGGAUAUCUUUAAUAUUAGGCAAAAAUUAAGUUUCAUUGUCUUGAGACUAUUGUCACUCAAAACAUAACUUUUAAAGAACAUAUCCAGUUUUCUUUUUAGAACUUCAUAAAAUGUUGAAUGGCCAUAAAUCAGGCUUAACAGAGAAAAAUGUUAGGGAGAGCCUGCAUGUUUGUUGUUGAAGGUUUGACGAUGUUCUAUGUUGAUCCUUACAAACUUAAAGAUGGCAGGUAGACAAGAAAUAAGACACAGGUUUGUCAGAUAUGUAAUGGAGUUUUUCAGCUCAGCAAGAAGAAUUUAGAAGUCUUUCUCUGCUGGCUAAUGCCUGCCAGUGUGUCAGCUGACAACAGCAGCGUAUUCUCAGCUGACAAUGAGCUCUUGUUAAUGUCUUGACUAUUGAUAGACUUAAAUUAUAGCCAUAUUGUCAUGCAGAACAAACACAUAUAAAAGUUUGCCUUUGAUCUAAAUACAGCCUUUCCUUUGCCACAGUGGCAUUUGAACUGUAUAUCAGAGUAAAAAGCUUAUAGUAAGUCAGGCAUAAAAAGUAGAUCAUUUAAAUCAGAUAAUUUAAAAACAUCUAAUUAAUGAUAAUUUUUGCUUGAAAACAAAAUAUCCUAUUUCAACGGAAGUUUAAGUUGAUUUGUAAAAAUGCAGACAUUAUCUCUGAGAUGGAUGCUACAAAAUGCCAUGCAUAUAUCUGCAAAUUCCUCAGUCCUCUAUCACCUUGAUUUUUUAAGGAUUUAAUGUUAUACUUGUUAAUUUAAAGCACAUUCUUUAUAUACAAUUCUUGAACUAGAGUGAAUUUCGUUCUUUCAUUGUCAUUAAAGAGCUUUCCUCUCUCCUGAUCCUUUUAAACUCUCUUCCAACAAUGCUAUGAAAGAUCAAGAAAAUAGUUUUCUAGAAACCAGAAUAAUACAUCUCUUGUAAUAAUUUAAAUUUCAGGAGAACUUGUUUCUUUGCAGUGCUUUCUGUAUUACAAGGCAUCUGCUGAGGAGCUCAGUAAAGCAUCCUGGGGGGUUGGAAUAUUUUCCUUCUGAAGACAAAUGCUCCAUGAGGGGUGCAGUCCAGCCACUGUUGCACUCGGUUAAAGACUUCAAUGUUAGAGUUAAGCAAGGGCGAAGCAGCCCUGAAGGGAAAGUAUAUGUAUUGGAGAUCCGUGCUCUUUUUUAUUCUCUUUCUUUCCUUCUUUCCUCCUUCCUUCUUUUCUUCCUUUCUUCCUUCCUUCCAUUUUUCCUUCUUUUCUUUCUAUUUCCCAUAUUCCUUCUCAAAGAAACAGAAAGAAAUACAGAUAUGCUUGCCAGAUGUCUUUGAUUAGAAUUAGUCCAGACAUCAGGAAGCUAAAACCAAGAUGAUUUAUUAAUAUAAUCCCUAAAGCUGGAAGUUUUCAAAUACAUCGCAACAAAAAAAGGAUUUAAAAGGCAAUUUCAAAUACACCAUUCCAUCUCCACUACACUGCCCUCGAACACUGAGAUAAUUUAGAAUCAAGAUAAGCUUAGGUAACCAUAAAAGUUAAACAGCUGCCACUGGCAGCUUAUUAGUCCCAAAACUUUCCAUAGAACUUCAACCAACAUGACACUUUGAUCCCAUGUGUCCAGGAAAUCGUCAAAGUUCAUCAGUUAGCUUUCAAGAGAAGAGUUUGCUUCUGAUAGAGUGACACCUAGAGUCACAUGAUAUUUUUAAGAAAAUGAUACACUGAAAAAUAAUAUCACAAUCGUGUAUUUAUGAAGUGUUGGCUUCUACAAAAUGGAGAUUUAAGAAAGACUGCUAGAACAAAUCAUUACAUUUCUAAAAAUAUUAAACAUGCACAGAAAUAUUAUCAACCAAAAGAAUUGUGAAAAAUCUCUAUCCUGUUCUCUUAUUGAAUGCAGUACAGAGUGUCACAAAUGCCCUUACAUCCUUGUCACACAGGUGAAUUACAAAUAGGAAGUGAAUGGUAAUGGUGAGUCGGUUCCCUUACCAGAGGCUGAUAUGUGAAUCCGUCCCUUUCUCACCUACGACAGAUCCCUUUCAUUAGUGAGUUCUCAUAUUCUAAUAAUCAAUCCCAAAAUAUUCAUAAUUACGGGAAGAUAAUACCAUUGUCAUUUUCACCAUCACAUUAUGAAAUUUUGUGUGUUGAGUCCAGUAACUAUUUAUUAAAAGUAACACACGGAAAUAUGAAUAAAAUAUAUUUAUGUACAAAGUGGCAUGGCAUUUUUUCUACCUAAUAUUUAGUAAUAGACUUGCAAAUUUUCCCUGAAUUAACAUAGUGGAAAACAAUAAAUACAAACAUUAGAUAAUAUGAGAACAUCAAGAAAGUAGGAAGUUUCCACGGAUGAAAGCUUUUGGCUCUGGAAACCUGAGACGCAAGGGCAGGUCGUGUCAUCUCCGAGUCCACCUGCCUGGGCUGUUAGGCUAACUGCUCAUAAAUGCCCCUCCUCAAAUUCACUCUCCUGGGAACACUCCUAUAAGAUGUAGUAAUGUGCUUUUUCCUGUCUCAAAGGGCAAGAGAGGCCCAGGAUUCUUUUUGAUUCUCUCCAAUUAUUGCAUUCAUCUGGACAUUCCUUUAUUGAGACAGGUGACUGGUGCAGACUGGCAAGCAGGACUGGAAGUCAGCAUUAAUUCCAGAGAGCUUUCUCCUUUUCUACACCUGGAGCAUAGAAGGUGAAAAUUCAGUCUGUGGGGGGAAAAACAUUCAGAUUCCAAGAACGUGAAGAAGUAGAGAUGCUGGGGAGACCGUUUCUUGGUAAGAAAUGCCCAUGACUAGCUGAAUUUUUUCCCACCCAAUACAGUCACUAGACUGUCUCAUAAGCACUUCAAACUCCACGUGUCUGAAAGGAAGACCACUAUAUUGCCUCCUGAACCUGUGCCCUCUCACUCCAGGAUCCCAGUCUCUGCUGUUACCUCCAGGAUCCAUCCAGGCGCCACGAUAGAAGUGUGGGCAACAUCUAUAGUCCUAAUUUUCCUCAUUCCCAACUCCCACAUUCAAUAGAUCACCACCUCUGGAGAAUCCCUAUCUUCCAGUUGCUUCUCUAUUCUAUUCUGCCUCUUCAUCUCCAUUCCUACAGUCCCUGCAGACCUGGUUAAAGCUCUUGUUCUUUUCCCCUUUCCCUAGGGAAUACUGCAGUAGUCUCUGACUUCUCUGCUUCCAAUCUUAACACCUCUUGAAUGAGUUUUCACAUUAUAUACUCAGUGAUGUGUCUUAAGCACAAAUAUCAUCAUAUUCUUCUUCUGAUUAAAGCUCUUAGCUGUAUAUACCCUAUCACAAAGGGGCACAGUUCGGGGUCUGUUGCUCGGGCUGAUGGGGUGAGUAAUUAUGAAAUUUAUGGGCAACUUUCCUGCUUUGCCGCUGUGUACUCAUCAGGGAGAAGAAGGAACAGGCAUCUCACAGGAAGGAGAGCCAGUGCUUUGGUUUUUACUUCGAGAUUUUCUUCUUUUCAGUGCAUAAACAACUUUCUGUGUUGGUCCAAAAAGGAGCAGGAGAUGGAGGCUUCUGUGCCUCAAGUGGAAAAGGGGCAGGAGCCCGCCCUGGCAGGGGUGAGAUGUCAUUGUGCAGCUGAUUGCAGUGCUGGUGGUUUGCUCGAAUCUGGGAGGAGGAUGAUACAGUGUGGGUGGAAGCGGGCAGUGGUACCAGGGAUGGAGACCUGCCCUCUGCUCUUUCACAGCAUGGUUGGAAGAGGCAGGGCCUUUGCUAGAGAUGAUUGCACUGUUGCCUUGUUUGGGGAAAGCCACGCACUGGCUGCCAUGGCCUUGGAGCAGUCUGAAGAGCAGAGAGUGGCCAGAGUCCAUGUCAAGCAUUAGUCUGUGGAGAAGACUGUAGAGCAGGAUAUCUCUGACGUCCUCAUAGAGCAUCUGCAGCCGACAGAUGGUCCAGCACAAGCCAGGGCAUGGCAUAGCUCUAGAAGGAACACGAUAAUUAUAGGAAUGAUUGUGCAACAGGCUCCUCUCUCAAAUUUUGGACUAAUUUCCUGGGUGAGUUUUAUAUCCAAGGUCAGAAGGACCUCCGAAAUGAAUAAAUGAUUUCCUUGAUAGCAUUAAUGAAGGAGGAGAGCAUCUGAUAUUAUUCUACCUAGAAAAAUAAAGUUAGCGUUUCAGUCUCACCUUGUGAAAUCCUUUACAAUCGACAUCAUGGAGAAUGUGGGAAGCAAGACGUCUUAUGGUCUGGUGCUCUCUGCUGCUUCAGCCUCAUUUCCCAGCCCUCCUGGCAUUGAACUAUAUCCUCUAUACUACUGCUUCCCAAGCUAUCUAUGGUGAAGAACCAGGUUGUUUUUUCAAAAUUUCAAAUCAGCCACAAACUGAUAUUUUUAAAAAAUAAAUGACAUCGAUAGAAUGUUUCAACAAUAUCAAACGGCUGUAACAAUUUUUAAGUGCUUACACUCAGUUUCCAUAUGUAAUCUCAUUGUGGAACAAUAUCAACAGUUCACUGACCUAGCACCAGCGUGCACAGCAUAGUGCUAAGGUUUCAGCUCAAAUGGCAUCUUCUUUAAAAAUUUGCUGUUAAACUUCAGGAUACAGAGACAGUGUCAAGAAGGUGGCAUAGGCAGACUCUGAACUAACGUCCUCCCAUGGACACAAAAAAUUUACAACUUCUCUCUGAACAUUACCCCUGAGAUAGAACUGGAAACUGGAUAAAAGGAACCCCACAACAAGGGACAGUCUAGACUGAGGUGGAAGAGGCAGAAAAUCCUUUCUGGAGAGAAAAGAACCACCUUUGAGUUGCAGUGCUCCACAGCCAGCUGGGAGCAAUCCUAAGGUUUAAAGCCUUCCCUGGAGGAGCAGGGGAUCUGAGCAGGGGACUAUUACCACAAAAAGCAAAUUUUGGGCUCAGCACAACCAAGACAAGUGUCAUAACAUCAGGGUUUGCUGGCUAUUAACUACAAUGGGGAAUACCCCCAGAAAAGCUAUCAGACACAAGGGGGAAAAAAGCCUACUAUUAAAGGGCCCAUACAUGAAUUCACCAUUUUAGAAAGCAACCUGAAAUCACCAGAAAGGUACAUAGCCAUCUGGCAAAAAUAGACUCACCCGAUAGGCUCUGGGUGCAUCUCGGUCAGAGAGGAGACAUCUGCAGGGACUGAGACAUUGGCAUCAGCCAUUAUUUUGACCAAGUACAGGUGUGCUGACACAGACACUGGCAGAAACCAUGGGAAUUAUUCCCCUGGCCUGUUAGCCCAGGCUUCUGCCCCACCCACUAGAGCACUGAUUUAAUUCAGCUCAGCCAGGGCAGGCAGCCCAUUCUAGGAACUGGCCUCACCCAACAACAAACCCUCAGGCAACUUAGCAGCCUGCAUAGGCUGGAUGCCUGGAUCCUCUGCAGCUGGGCAAGUGUGUCCGUCUCUGUGUGAUAAGGUGUGUGAGGCAUUGGUGGAGCAUGUAGGGCCUCUGUAAUGGGGCAACUAGGUCUUCUUCAGUGGGCCAGGGCAUGUGCAUGGGACAGGACUGUGUUGAUGGCAUAUGUGGCCCUGUGGGUGGUUGGGGCUUGUCAGCUGGAGCAGACUUGUGCUUCUCAAACAGCAACAUAGGGGAACACCACCACCUUCCAAAGCCUGAAACAAUUGGGUGCUCCCACUCCUGGGUCCCACCCCACUUAGCUGCAAUCCUGAGAGAGAGCUGACAACAGCUUUGCAGGCUGGAGGCCUACAGCAAUUCCAAGUCCCUGAGCCUAGCAACCAGCCACACUGGGGGCCUCCUCACUUAACAGAAAAAUCACAAUCAGGAGUGUGAUAUUAGACCCUGGAGCCAGCAGUUCUGGGGUUUCCUAUACCUGAUAAAGUGACUGAAGGGUCCACAGCAGCCACAUGCAGCUGAGCAUUACAACCAGUCAGUCGGGGACAGCCUAGCCUCCCUGUGCACCUGCAGUAAGAGCAAUCUGGCCAUAACAGAAGGACACAAGUAGCCAACACAGGGGACACUCCUGGAACAUUUGGAACUGGUGAUGAAAGAGAAGCACAUUGUUGGGCUUCAUAAGACACCUCUUACAUAAGGCCACUUCUCCAAGAUCAGGAGAUGUAGCUCACCUAACUAAUACAUAGAUAUAAACACAGAGCAAGAGGCAAAAUGAGGAGACAAAGGCAUAUGUUCCAAAUAAGGGAACAGGCAAGUCUUCAGAAAAAGAACUAAAUGAAACAGAGAUAAACAAUCUAUCUGAUAAAGAGUACAAACUAAUAGUCAUAAGAAUACCCACUGAUCUCAGGAGAAAAAUGGAUGAAUUCAUUGAGAACUUCAACAAAGGAUUGGAAAAUAUAAAAAAGAACCAAUCAGACAUGAAGAAUACAAUACUGGAGAUGAAAAAUUCACUAGAGGCAAUCAAUAGUGGAUUAGAUGAUACAGAAGAAGGGACCAGUGAACUAGAUGAAAGGCUAGAGGAAAUCACCCAAGCUGAAUAGAUAAAAGAAAAAAGAAUUAAAAAGAAUGAGGACAGUCUAAGGACCUCUAGGACAACACCAGGUGCCUAACAUCCAUAUUAUGGGUGUCCCAGAAGGAGAAGAGAGAGACAAAGGGGCAGAGAAUCUAUAUGAAGAAAUAUUAGCUGUAAACUUUCCUAACCCAAGGAAGAAAACAGACAUCCAGAUACAGGAAGCACAGAGAGCACCAAACAAGAUGAACCCAAAGAGGCCCACACCAAGACACAUUACAAUUAAAGUGUCAAGAAUUAAACAUAAAGAGAGAAUCCUGAAAGCUGCAAGAGAAAGACAACAAGUUACUUAAAAAGGAAACCUCACAAGGCUAUAAGUUGACUUCUCAACAGAAACCGUACAGGCUAGAAGGGAGUGGCAUGAUGUAUUUAAAGUGCUGAGAGGAAAAAACCUAAAACCAAGAAUGUUCCACCGAUCAAGGUAUUCAUUCAGAAUGGAAAGAGAGAUAAAGAGUUUCCCAGAGAAACAAAAAUUGAAGGAGUUUAUCACUGGGGCUGGCCCAGUGGCACAGCAGUUAAGUUCACACAUUCCGCUUCUCGGUAGCCCAGGGUUCACCCGUUUGGAUCCCACGUGUGGAUAUGGCACCACUUGGCGAAAGCCAUGUUGUGGUAGGCAUCCCACGUAUGAAGUAGAGGAAGAUGGGCAUGGAUGUUAGCUCAGGGCCAGUCUUCCUCAGCAAAAAGUGGAUGAUUGGCAGCAGAUGUUAGCUCAGGGCUAAUCUUCCUCAAAAAAAUAAAUAAAAAUAAAAAAAGAAAGAGACCAUCAACUUAAUAUAAAUUGCUAUAUGUGAAAGUUAUUAUAUAUGAACUCAUGAUAAUUGCAAACUAGAAAUCUAUAAUAAAUACCCAAAAAAAUAAGAGAAGGGAACCCAAACAUAAUACUAAAGAAAGCCAUCAAACCACAAAGGAAGAGAGCAAGAGAAGAAGAAAGGAACAGAGAAGAACUACUAAAACAUCCAGAAAAAAAGUAACAAAAUGGAAAUAAGUACAUAUUUAUCAAUAGCCACUUUAAAUGUCAAAGGACUAAAUGCUCCAAUCAAAAGACAUAGGGUGGCUGACUGGAUAAAAAAGCAAGACCCAAAUAUAUGCUGCAUAUAAGAGACACACUUCAUACCUAAAGACACUCACAAACUGAAAGUGAAAGGAUGGAAAAGAUACUCCAUGCACAUGGCAAAGAAAAUAAAGCUGGGGUAGCAAUACUCGUAUCAGACAAAAUAGACUUUAAAACAAACACUGUAACAAGAAACAAAGAAGGGCACUACAUAAUGAUAAAGGGAACAAUCCAACAAGAGGAUAAGACACUUAUAAAUAUCUAUGCACCCAACAUAGGAGCACUUAAAUAUAUAAGGCAAUUAUUAAUAGAUAUAAAAGGAGGAAUAGACAGUAACACAAUAAUAGUAUGGGACUUUAACCCUUCACUUACAACAAUGGAUAGAUCAUCUAAACAGAAUAUCAGUAAGGAAACAUUGGCCUUAAAUGACACAGUAGACCAGAUGGACUCAGUAGAUAUAUAGAGAACAUGCCAUCCAAAACCCACAGAAUACACAUUGUUUUCAAAUGCACAUGGAACAUUCUCCUGACUAGAUCACAUAUUAGGCCACAAAAUAAGUCUCAAUAAAUUUAAGAAGACUGAAAUAAUAUCAAGCAUCGUUUCUGACUGCAACAGUAUGAAACUGGAAAUCACCUAAGGAAAACUAUCAGAAAAGCUACAAAUAUGUGAGGAUUAAACAACAUGCUACUGAACAGUAGGUUCAAUGGAUAAAUCAAAGGAGAAAUUAAAAAUUACCUGGAGAAAAAUGAAAAUAAAAAUUCGACAUGGCAAAAUUUAUGGGCUACAGCAAAAGCAGUUGACAGUAAUAAAGGCUUACCUCAACAAACAAGAAAAGUAUCAAAUAAACAAUCUAACAGUGCACCUAGAGUCACUGGAAAUAGAAAAAACAAAGCCCAAAAUUGGUAGAAGGAAGGAAAUAAUAAAAUUGACAAACCCUCAGCUGGACACACCAAGAAGAAAAGAGAGAAGGCUCAAAUAAAUAAAAUCAGAGAUGAAAGAGGAAAAUUACAACAGACACCUCAGAAAUACAACAGAUUAUAAGGGAAUACUACAAAAAACUAUAUGCCAACAAACUGGAUAAUCUAGAAGAAAUGGAUAAAUUCUUAGAAUCAUAGAACCUUCAAAAACUCAAUCAAAAAGAAAUAGAGAAUCUGAAUAGACCAAUCACCAGUAAGGAGAUCAAAACAGUAAUCAAAAACCUCUCAAAAAAUGAAAGUGCAGGACCAGACAGCUUCCUUGGGGAAAUUCUACCAAACAUUCAAAGAAGACUUAAUACCUAUCCUUCUCAAACUCUUCCAAAAGAUUGAAGAGGAAGGGAAGCUCCCUAACUCAUUCUAUGAAGCCAACUUUACCCUGAUACCAAAAGCAGACAAGGACAACACAAAAAAAGAAAAUUACAGGCCCAUAUCACUCAUGAACAUCAAUGCAAAAAUCCUCAACAAAAUACUGGCAAAUCGAAUAUGACAAUACAUUAAAAAUAUCACACACUAUGAUCAAGUGGGACUUAUUCCAGGGAUGCAUGGAUGGCUCAGUAUCUGCAAGUCAAUCAACACAGUACACCACAUUAACAAAAUGAAGAAUAAAAAUUUCAUGGUCAUCUUAAUAGUUGCAGAGAAAGCAUUUGACAAGAUACAGCACCCAUUUAUGAUAAAAACUCUGAAUAAAGUACAUAUAAAAGGAAAGUACCUCACCAUAAUAAAGGCCAUAUAUGACAAGACCACAGCUAAUAUCAUUCUCAAUGGAGAAAACCUGAAAGCUAUCCUUUUAAGAACAGGAACCAGACAUGGAUGCCCACUUUCACCACUCUUAUUUAACAUAGUAUUGGAAGUCCUAGCCAGAGCAAUCAGGCAAGAAAAAGAAAUAAAAGGGAUCCAAAUUGGAAAGGAAGAAGUGAAACUGUCACUAUUUGCAGAUGACAUGAUUUUAUAUAUAGAAAAUCCUAAAAAAUCUAUCAAAAAACUUUUAUAAAUAAUAAAUGAAUAUGGUUAAGUUGCAGGAUACAAAAUUGACAUACAAAAAAUCAGUUGUGUUUCUAUACAAUAACAAUGAAGAGCAGGAAGAGAAAUUAAGAAUACAAUCUUAUUCACAAUAACAAUAAAAAUAAUAAAAUACCUAGGAAUAAACAACCAAAGAGGUGAAAGAUCUGUACACUGAAAACUAUAAAACCUUGCUGAAAGAAAUUGAAGAAAACACAAAUUGAAAGAUAUUCCAUGCUUUUGGAUUGGAAGAAUUAACAUAGUUAAAAUGCCCAUACUUCCUAAAGCAAUCUACAGAUUCAGUGCAAUCCCUAUCAAAGUUCCAACAACAUUUUUCACAGAAAUAGAGCAAAGAAUGAUAAAAUUUAUAGGGAACAACAAAAGACCCCGAAUAGCCAAAGGAACCUUGAGAAAAAAGAACAAAGCUGAAGGUAUCACAUUUCCUGAUUUCAAAAUAUGCUACAAAGCUAUCAUAACUAAAACAGUGUGGUACCAGCAGAAAAACAGGCACACAGAUCAAUGGAACAGAAUUGAAAGUCCAGAAAUAAACCCAUACAUCUAUGAACAGCUGAUUUUCCACAAGGGAGCCAAGAACAUACAAUGGAGUAAGGAAAGUCUCUUCAAUAAAUUGUGUUGGGAAAACUGGACAGCCACGUGCAAAAGAAUUCAAGUAGAUCAUUAUCUUACACCAUAGAGUAAAAUGAACUUAAAAUGGAUACUAAAGACUUGAAUGUAAGACCUGAAACCAUGAGACUUCUAGAAGAAAACAUAGGCAGUAUGUUCUUUGACACCAGUCUUAGCAGCAUAUUUUCAAGUACUAUGUCUGACCGGGCAAGGGAAACAAUAGAAAAAAUAAACAAAUGGGACUACAUCAAACUAAAAAGUUUCUGCACAGCAAAGGGAAUCAUCAACAGAAUGAAAAAGACAAUUUAACAAUUGGGAGAACAUAUCUGCAAACAAUAUGUCUGAUAAGGGGUUAAUAUCCAAAAUAUAUAAAGAACUCAUAUAUCUCAACAACCAAAAAAACUAACAGCCCAGUUAAAAAACGGGCAAAAGAUCUGAACAGACAUUUCUCCAAUGAAGAUAUACAGAUGGCCAACAGGCACAUGAAAAGAUAUUCAAUAUCACUAUCAGGGCAAUGCAAAUCAAAGCUACAAUGAGAUAUCACUUCACUCCAGUCAGAAUGGCUAUAAUUAACAAGACAGGAAACAAGUUUUGGAGAGGAUGUGGAGAGAAGGGAACCCUCAUACACUGCUGGUGGGAGUGCAAACUUGUGCAGUCACUAUGAAAAACACUAUGGAGAUUCCUCAAAAAAUUAAGAAUAGAUCUACUGUAUCAUCCAACUAUUCCACUGCUGGGUAUUUAUCCAAAGAACAUGAAAGCACUAAUGUGUAAAGAUAUAUGCAUCCUUACGUUCACGGCAGCAUUAUUCACAAUAGCCAAGACUUGGAAGCAACCUAGAUGCCCAUCAAGGGAAGUAUGGAUAAAGAUGAUGUGGUAUAUAUACACAAUGGAGUACUACUCAGCCAUAAAACAUGAUGAAAUCUGGUCAUUUGUGACAACAUGGAUGGACCAUGAGGAUGUUAUACUAAGCGAAAUAAUUCAGACAGAGAAAGUCAAACACCAUAUGAUCUCACUCACAAAUAGAAGAGAUAAAACAGUAACAAACACAUUGAGACAGAGAUUGGAUUGGUGGUUACCAGAGGGGAGGGAGGUAGAGAGGAGAGUGAAAGGGGUGAUUAAGCACAUGUGGAUGGACUGAAAUUAGCCUUUGGUUGAUUAACAUGAUGUAAUUUACACAGAAAUUGAGAUAUAAUGAUGUACACCUGAAAUUUAUAUAAUGUUAUAAACCAAUGUUACUGCAAUAAAAAAAUAAAAUAAAAUGAAAAAAUAAACUUCAGGAUACCACGUCUGUAUUUACAGACCACUAUCUAUUAUUUACUACAUUUUAUUAAAGCUCUUCCUUAUGUGCAUUUCUCUCCAUUUCUAUAAGCUCUCUGAGUACAGGAACCAUGUCAUAUCCCUUUUUAUACCUAGCCUAGUACUUGGCCCUGAGGAGUAAGGUUUCUGUCACUUUUUGUUCAACAGAACCAUACUUCUCUGUAGGUGAGUUUCCAAGUGAAGUCAAGAUUUUGCAGCUUAGAUCAACUAGAUAAAAACUGGAUUUGUGUGAAUAGGAUAACGCUCAUGAUUAAUAUUUUAUUAUCCAUUUUUUCAAAGAUCCUCAACCUCUAUAGGAACAAACAAGAGUUUUCAUCAGAGUGCAUUGCACAUUGAUAAUCUUUCUCAAGAAGUGGAUCUUGCUUCAUUAAUGAUUUUUUUCAUUAGUUGAUAGUUUCAAUUUGGAUGUCUCUACCAGUAUUAGUAUUUGCUUUCUUUACAACAUUAUAAUGUCUCUAAAAUUCAGUAUGUUGGCUUCAAUAACGAUAGUCAGGACUUUAUGGUCACUGAAUAUCUCACAACCUUAAAAUUUUAUUUAUUUGUAAUUCUUACAAAGAAUAAAUGAUCACUUUUAUAAGAAAGAUCAUGAUAUAUUCUUUAACAAUAUUGACAACACUUUAUAAACAAACACAAUGGUUUUAGGACAAAAGAUCAUUCUGUCCUGGUUUCCACUGGAUGUAAAAUCCAGUGCAAAGCAUUAUUAAGAAAUUUUUUUCAGGACCAUAGCCUAGGAUCAGAAAAUAAAUCUCCUUUACCCAUCAUGCUUUCUUUUCAGCCUCUAUUAUUUCAUUUAAAAAUGUAAAAGAAAAAUUGAAAACCAUGUUAAUCUCUUCAGGAAAUUCAUAAAGAUGCUUUUAGAUUAUCAAGCUACCACUUAGAAAAUUACAGAAGUGCAGUGAAUUGUAUCUGGGAGGAACAAUAGAAAUGGCUAACAGUUCACACUGCUGAGGGUCUGUAGGAUGAGAUAUUCAAAUAAGCUACUGGGACUUUCCAGCCCCUUGGAUAUUCAUUGGUCUGAAACUCCCUUCACUUCUUGAACUGUCAGGCAGCUUGGAACAGAAGGCAAGGAGACCCCCGGUGAGGGAGCAAGAGGGCUGCAGUGGCUCCCCUCCCUUACCACAGCACGGGAGUGGCUGCAGAGCAAUAAACGGCUUUCCAUUCAGUUCUAAAAUGCUUCUUUUUUUCCCCAUUUGACAUAAAUCUUGGAAAUGUUUGCAUGUAAUUUAAAAAUUGCCUUGAGCAUUACUUUUGCUAGUUGUAUAAUGUCAUUCAUAGGAUGAAGCAUAAUUUAUUUUAAAUUUCCACACUAUUAGACAUGUAAGCUGUUUCUAAAUAUUUGCUACCAUUCUUUCCAUAUUAAUCUUUAACCACAUUUCAAAUAAUAUCCCAAUGAAAAUUUCCUAAAAGUGAAAUUACGAGGUGACAAAUGUGAAAAUUUUAAGUCUCUUAGUGAAUACUGCCAAACUGUUCUUCAGAAAGAUUAAUUCAAUUUAUACUUUCAAAUGCAGCAUAUGAAACUGUUUGCUUCCCCAGGAUGAGUUUUGAAAAGUUUUUAAAAACAGCUCAAGAAAAUUGAUGGGUUAUUUUUGGGAGACCUUAAUUCACAUUUUCGAUUACUAGUAGUAUAGAAACUCCUUUAUAAUUUUGUAUCACCAUUUCUAUAUCCUUUCUAUGUACUGCCUAUUCACGCCUUUGCUUAUUUUUCUAUUAUUUCUCAAUUUGUAUAAAUGUCUUUGUAUAUUUAGGAUAUUAAUGAAUGGUCUCAUAUUUAUGACAAAUAUUUUCCCAAUUUAUUUUCUCUCAUAAUUUUCUUUAUAAUAAUAUUUUUAUGUUUGGGAAGUUUCAAGUCAUGAUGCAGUAGAAUUCCUACCUUUUCCAUUGAAUUUCCUUAUAUUGUUCUGUGUUUUGAAAAUUCUUACUGAGACACUGAGUAUAACAUACCUAAUUUUCCUUUUGCUGUCUCUUUCUUUUUUUGCAUUUGGUUCUCUCUACAUCUUUUCCCUAUAUAGAUAUUAUCAGCUAACGCCCCCACCUUCACACUCAUUAUUGACCAAUUUGUUCACACCAUUUAUUGGCAUCAGUAAGAAAGGAAUGUGCUUUGUCUGCUCCACAUUUUUGUCUUUGCAGAAGUUCUCUGUAACAACAAAUCACUUCUUUUAGCUAUGUCAUUCUUGUCAUAAGAGAAUUAGUCUCAGAAGAAGACAGUGGAGGAGCACAGUUGCAUUGUGAAUGAGCACUGAAUAUGUAUAGCUAUGCACAGAGCUAAUACAGCUCCCUUCUUUGAGUCCGGUGGCCUUCAACACCUAUCAUAAGUUAGUUUAGCAAAAAUCGCUAUUCUGAGGGUGGUACCAGCCAAUAACCAGGACCAAAGCGAAUUACACAGGGAAAAUUUAAGAUAAAUUAAUGGUUUUCUUAUUCUAAAGAAAUUUUGGUCCCUAAAUGUGGCAACAAAUCUACAAUGAAAGGAUAAUAUUUUUUUGAACUCCUAUCAACUUUCUUCUUGUUGAUACAAAAGUCAUAGAGAUUUUAGAAGUAGUUUGAAUUGAUGUGUCAGCAUAAACUAUGUCCAUAUAGUUUUUAAAUUUUUUCUCUAAGUGUUUUCUUAUUUCUUGUACAUGAUUUUAUGUUCCCUCUAGACAAAACUAUUCAGAAGAGCAGGGAUCAUAGAUGAUAAAUAUUUUGGAAUUCCUGUCUACUCUGCCAAAUCACAUUAAAUAUAAUACUCUGCACAAAAUAGAUGAUCAAUAUAUGAAGCAGCAAGCAUUAAGUAGAUCUAGAAUUCUACUUUGAGGUGAAACUUUUUUAACAUGAAUGAAUAUUUCUAUAUUAGUGCUUGCUGUUCCAUACAGAUCCAAAGACUUCUCAAUUUCUUUUCCCAAAUCUUCUAGGCCUGAUGAAUAUAUUCUUAUUUUGAAUCUCUAAGUUGAUAAUUGAUUUCUAGUUGACAACUUAGAAAGUAAUUACUCACUGGUUAUGACAUUCAGAGUGCAAUGAUUGCUAAGAGAAAUAGAUUGAAAAAAGUAAGGCAAGUAAACAGUAGAAUUGAUAGAUGUCAAACUCAUUUCUCCCCAGUACUUUCUAAUAUUUACUCUUCAGAACAUCACUACGUAAUUCCAAAAUGACACAGAAGAGCAUCAAAAGUUAUUUACCUCUGAAAACCAAAAGACAUGAAAUCAGAGAUUAGGAGUAAUUUUAUAGUACAAAAAUGGAAAGGAAUGGAAGUUGGACAAUAAUGUCUUUUAUUGAGCUUGUUUGGGUCAGCACCA